Molecule: ribosomal RNA, 360 nt
Filed under: uncultured soil bacterium
Lineage: Bacteria
Description: bacterial SSU rRNA
Rfam family: Bacterial small subunit ribosomal RNA
Source: RNAcentral
AGAUUGAACGCUGGCGGCAUGCCUUACACAUGCAAGUCGAACGGCAGCACGGGAGCAAUCCUGGUGGCGAGUGGCGAACGGGUGAGUAAUAUAUCGGAACGUGCCCAGUCGUGGGGGAUAACGCAGCGAAAGCUGUGCUAAUACCGCAUACGAUCUAUGGAUGAAAGGCGGGGAUCGACAAGACCUCGCGCGAUUGGAGCGGCCGAUAUCAGAUUAGCUAGUUGGGUAGGGUAAAAGCCUAACCGAAGGCGACGAUCUGUAGCUGGUCUGAGAGGGACGACCAGCCACACUGGAACUGAGACACGGUCCAGACUCCGUACGGGAGGCAGCGAGGUGGGUAAUUUUGGAACAAGUGGGACG